GUCCACGCCGUAAACGAUGGAUACUAGCUGUUGGGAGCAAUUUCAGUGGCUAAGCGAAAGUGAUAAGUAUCCCACCUGGGGAGUACGUUCGCAAGAAUGAAACUCAAAGGAAUUGACGGGGGCCCGCACAAGCGGUGGAGCAUGUGGUUUAAUUCGAUGAUACGCGAGGAACCUUACCAAGGCUUAAAUGUAGAUUGACCGACGUGGAAACAUGUCUUUCGCAAGACAAUUUACAAGGUGCUGCAUGGUUGUCGU
This 255-nucleotide ribosomal RNA is filed under the name uncultured bacterium. Its description in RNAcentral is "partial 16S ribosomal RNA". It matches the Rfam family "Bacterial small subunit ribosomal RNA", at positions 793 to 1055 of the family's 1533-position model. The record is from RNAcentral.